CACCGAGUCCGUGGCCUCGGGAGUCACCGGGGCCUGGUGCAAAAGGGA
This 48-nucleotide small RNA is filed under the name Streptomyces uncialis. Its description in RNAcentral is "raiA-hairpin RNA". It matches the Rfam family "raiA-hairpin RNA". Lineage: Bacteria; Bacillati; Actinomycetota; Actinomycetes; Kitasatosporales; Streptomycetaceae. The record is from Rfam by way of RNAcentral.